UAGGGAAUCUUCGGCAAUGGACGAAAGUCUGACCGAGCAACGCCGCGUGAGUGAAGAAGGUUUUCGGAUCGUAAAACUCUGUUGUUAGAGAAGAACAAGGACGUUAGUAACUGAACGUCCCCUGACGGUAUCUAACCAGAAAGCCACGGCUAACUACGUGCCAGCAGCCGCGGUAAUACGUAGGUGGCAAGCGUUGUCCGGAUUUAUUGGGCGUAAAGCGAGCGCAGGCGGUUUCUUAAGUCUGAUGUGAAAGCCCCCGGCUCAACCGGGGAGGGUCAUUGGAAACUGGUAUACUUGAGUGCAGAAGAGGAGAGUGGAAUUCCAUGUGUAGCGGUGCAAUGCGUAGAUAUAUGGAGGAACACCAGUGGCGAAGGCGGCUCUCUGGUCUGUAACUGACGCUGAGGCUCGAAAGCGUGGGGAGCAAACAGG
This 429-nucleotide ribosomal RNA is filed under the name Gemmatimonadota bacterium. RNAcentral's name for it is "Gemmatimonadetes bacterium partial 16S ribosomal RNA". It matches the Rfam family "Bacterial small subunit ribosomal RNA", at positions 355 to 776 of the family's 1533-position model. The record is from RNAcentral. Lineage: Bacteria; Pseudomonadati; Gemmatimonadota.